AUGGCGCAGCGCGGGCGUGUGGAGCUGCGGCGGAUCGAGGACCGGACGAGCCGCCAAGUGCGCUUCUCCAAGCGCCGCUCAGGGCUCUUCAAGAAGGCCUUCGAGCUCUCGCUCCUCUGCGACGCCGAGGUCGCGCUGCUCGUCUUCUCCCCCGCCGGAAAGCUCUAUGAGUACGCCUCCUCCAGGUGCACGCCCGCCGCCACGCACUUUUUUUUACUUACUCCUCUACAAAGCUAG
This 237-nucleotide ribosomal RNA is filed under the name Triticum aestivum (bread wheat). Its description in RNAcentral is "partial small subunit ribosomal RNA". Lineage: Eukaryota; Viridiplantae; Streptophyta; Magnoliopsida; Poales; Poaceae. The record is from RNAcentral.